This 391-nucleotide unclassified non-coding RNA is filed under the name soil metagenome. RNAcentral describes it as "partial contains 5.8S ribosomal RNA, internal transcribed spacer 2, and large subunit ribosomal RNA". The stretch from base 1 to 122 matches the Rfam family "5.8S ribosomal RNA", at positions 35 to 154 of the family's 154-position model. The record is from RNAcentral.
GAUGAAGAACGUAGCGAAAUGCGAUACUUGGUGUGAAUUGCAGAAUCCCAUGAACCAUCGAGUUUUUGAACGCAAGUUGCGCCCGAAGCCACUAGGCCGAGGGCACGCCUGCCUGGGCGUCACACGCCGUUGCCCCCCCAUCUACUCCUUCGGGAUUGCGGGGGGGCGGAUGAUGGCCUCCCGUGCGCCUAGCCGCGCGGUUGGCAUAAAUACCAAGUCCUCGGCGACGCACGCCACGACACUCGGUGGUUGCGAAACCUCGGUUGCCCGUCGUGUGCGUUCGUCGCGCAUCGAGGGCUCGAAAAAAUGCUCGGCUCCGGCUGGGCUUUCAACGCGACCCCAGGUCAGGCGGGGUUACCCGCUGAAUUUAAGCAUAUCAAUAAGCGGAGGA